GGCUCUCUCCAAGUCCGCUUUAAGGUCGGGCGGGCGGGCUGAGGUGGGCGGGACCUGGAGACUGCAGAGCUACAAAUGCAGCCCGCGGAAGGCGGUCGGGGCUUGCUGGGUUUUUUCUAGGACGCAGUUCGUAUUAAAGUGGACGCAGCGCAUUUUUCGUGGCCGAGACUGCAAGUCACCGCGCAGAUGAGGCACCCUGAGAGCGCUGGCGGCCUAGAGGCCCUGGACGCUGUGUUGUGUUCUGCAGACGCCUCUCACCGUUAGAGGUGGAACAUGCCUUCCCGCCCCAGGAGUUUGUUAUCGUAUGUUGUCCUCCUGAUCUGCCACUUUGAGCAGGUUUCCUAGUGACAUCUGCAGAUGGGCGCCUGGACUGAAUUCCACAGCCCCAUCUACGCCGGGGAGGGGACGUGGAUGGAGUCUCCAGGCGAAAAAAGUCGGAAGCACUGUGUUCCUGAAGCUGCAUUAACCGUUAAGAGGAGGAAAAUGAAGCCUGAGUGUUAAGGUGCUGGAAGACUUAUGAAUAUAGAGAAAUUUGGUCCUUAGAGAAAGGGACAGGUAAUAGGCCAAAGGUAAGAACUUGAGGAAUCAACGACAGUGCAGGGAGGUGAGGUCGUUGGAAUGAGCGGAGUCAUUCGGAGCCAUGGUAUCCAAACUCCUGGAAGUAUUAGAGCCAGGACAUCUUUCAGGAAAUCAAUGUUUACAUCGUAAUUUCUAGAAAGCUGCCUAAAGAUACACCUUUCCCCCUAUUUUUUACGCUUUCACUUCCACUCUUCUACCACUUUUUUACAAAAGAAAGUCAUACGGGGAAUCCCGUCUGACUACGUGAUGUGUUGUCCCAGGUGUGAAACCUCUGGGACACCACACACAAGAACGAUUGGGAACAUAGAUAUUUGAUUUCUGAUUUCUUCCCAAUUUCUUGCUUUUAACAAAACUGAAGGAGUAGCUGAUAGAUACUACUGGCUGAUACAGAUUAUUUUUCAAAUUGUUGGUGAUACAUGCUUCAAAUAGAUGAAACUUCUAAGAAGAAACAAUAACUGCACAAAAUAUCUCCCCCUAAUAUUAUUAUAGUGGCAAUUUUAACAUAUAGCCACAAAAAUCUUUGAUACCUCCUUCCUCCAGCAAGUAGAAUUUGAAUUAUCCAGUCCCUCGAGUGUAUGCGAGGGACUUGGUGCCUUGCUUCUAAAACAGAACGUGGAAAAGGAGAAUAGUAGUUUUUAUAGUGGGGAAACCGGCAGACACCUCUUUAACCAACUGGUCAAGGUUAACACCAGUGGGUGAAGUCAUGUUGUUAUCAGUUAUCCCCUGAUGUGAGGCAGUGAAGAACUCUACUUCAUCUCUGAAAGUCUUUGCAAAAAUUCACGACCCCAGACUAAUCAAGAGAAAACAUCAGCCCAAUACAAAUUGAGACCUUCUUGAAAAUACGUAACCAGUACACCUCAAAACUGUAAACAUCAUGAAAGACAAGGAAAAACUGAGAAACUCACAGAUUGGAGAAGACCAAGGAGACAUGACGAUUAUAUGCAAGUGGGAUCCUGGAUUGUAUUCUGGAACUGAAAAGGGACACGAGUGGAAAAAUUGGUGAAAUCUGAAUAAUAAAGUCUACAGUUAAAUGAUAAGUAUUAUAACUAUUUUGUUCCCUGUACUGUGCUUUAAGAUACUGACUGUAGAGGAAGCUGGAUUAUAUGGGGGACCUCUUUGAACUAUUUUUGCAACUCUAAAAUUAAUUGAAAAUUUAAAAGGUAAUUGGUGGGGGCAGACUCCACAUUGCAGUGGAUUGAGAAAUGAGUAGAGGACUAGAAGUAGACAUAGGUGUGCAGACGCAUCUUUCCGCUUUUUUCCUGAUGCAUUUUAGUUUCAUAAAGAAAAGACCUCAGUUAAUACAGCAAAGUGCCAACAUCUGUCAAAUUCAUUUGAGUGUUACACGAUUCCCUGCACUGUCUCAGUGGGUUUGAAAUAGUCCCUAAAUACAUAUUUGGCUCUGAAGGAGAGAGAACAAGUGUAUGGUACGAAGGAAAUGCAGAGUUGGGGCAGGGUAGACUGAUGAAACAGCUUUACUCAUCAAUAGGAAGGGAGAGGUUGAAAAUACAGGAGGCAAUUGAUGGUGAUUGAUGGAGCAGCUUUGUGAAGAAAGUGGGGGCAGAGUUAAGUGAACUGGCAGAGAUGGAGAAGUUAUUCUUGAUGGCAAGGAGGGACUCCAUCUUGUGAGACUGGAGGAAAGAAGGGGCAGUGGAAUAAGAAUGCCAUUUCUAAUAAGGGGAACAGGAGACCAAGGGAAAAUAUUGUUGGCUGAGCUCUAAGCCUGUACAUCUUCUGUGGUUUCCAUUUCUGUCUUCCAUGCUGUCUUCCAACAUACAUAUAACAGCAAAGAUGAAUGGAAACAUUUGGAGUUUUCAGUUUUGCCUUGUAGGUAAAACAGCCAGUUUGGGGAACAAUCAAAGACAAUAGAAAGCAGUUCAGAUGAUUUAACCAUGGCACCUGAGAAAGCAGAGGAACUGGAAAAACGAAGAAUUCCAUGUUGAAGUUUGGAGAAGGCAGGAACUGAAAUGGUGAGAAGUUGAAAUAAAAGAAGAGAGUACUUGAACAUCACUUGAGCAUCAAGACUUUAGGAGAAUUCCAUGACCAGCUCACCUGUGAGUAAAGGUAGACGAGGCAAGGAGGAACCAGACCUAACUUCUGGGCUUUGAAAGCAAGGCAUCCACCAAACUGGGCACCUCCUCAAGUGCUGCAUGCCUUACAGGAUCUUAGUUCCCCAACCAGGUGUGAACCUUCGACCACUGGAGAAUUCCCCAAAUUUCUGGACUCGAGAAUGAAAAAGGAGAUAAAAAUUAAAAAGCAGUAUUAUACUGUGAUCUACUCUUGUACGUAUUUGUUGGUAUGCAUGUGCAUGCUCCGUGGUGUUCAACCCUGCUGCCGUCACUCCAAAUGUUGCCUUUAAAAACUUCUUCCUGAAAACCAUCUGGGAGUUUGGGUCUUUUGAGCCCAAACCACCUUUUCCCUUGCUGGGCCCUGCAAUAAACCUUUUCUGCUCCACA
Long non-coding RNA from Bubalus bubalis (water buffalo), 3032 nucleotides. RefSeq lists it as uncharacterized. The transcript has 2 exons. Lineage: Eukaryota; Metazoa; Chordata; Mammalia; Artiodactyla; Bovidae. The record is from RefSeq and is a predicted model, not a curated record.